CGAAAGCCUGACGGAGCAACGCCGCGUGUGGGAAGAAGGCCUUUGGGCUGUCAACCACUUUUCUCAGGGAAGAAGUUCUGACGGUACCUGAGGAAUCAGCCUCGGCUAACUCCGUGCCAGCAGCCGCGGUAAUACGGAGGAGGCAAGCGUUAUUCGGAAUUAUUGGGCGUAAAGCGUCCGCAGGGGGCGCAUCAAGUCUGCUGUUAAAGGCUGGAGCUCAACUCCGGUAGAGCAGUGGAAACUGGUGCGCUAGAGGGCGACAGGGGUAGAGGGAAUUCCCAGCGUAGCGGUGAAAUGCGUAGAGAUUGGGAAGAACACCGGUGGCGAAAGCGCUCUACUGGGCCGUGACUGACCCUGAGGGACGAAAGCUAAGGUAGCG
Molecule: ribosomal RNA, 379 nt
Filed under: uncultured cyanobacterium
Lineage: Bacteria; Bacillati; Cyanobacteriota
Description: bacterial SSU rRNA
Rfam family: Bacterial small subunit ribosomal RNA
Source: RNAcentral